Molecule: transfer RNA, 69 nt
Filed under: Caudoviricetes sp.
Lineage: Duplodnaviria; Heunggongvirae; Uroviricota; Caudoviricetes
Description: tRNA-OTHER
Rfam family: tRNA
About the family: Transfer RNA (tRNA) molecules are approximately 80 nucleotides in length. Their secondary structure includes four short double-helical elements and three loops (D, anti-codon, and T loops).
Source: RNAcentral
GGAAGCAUAGCUCAAGGUGUAGAGCAGCGCCAUUGGCGUUUGUUAUCGGUUCGAAUCCGGUUGCUUCCA